Poecilia latipinna (sailfin molly) is the source of this 352-nucleotide long non-coding RNA. RefSeq lists it as uncharacterized. The record is from RefSeq and is a predicted model, not a curated record. NCBI's taxonomy places the organism in Eukaryota, Metazoa, Chordata, Actinopteri, Cyprinodontiformes, Poeciliidae. The transcript has 3 exons.
UUUCAGUCCUCAAGAAUCAGCUCUGAGUCAAACUGCUGAGCACCAGCUGAAAAACACAAAAAUAAGAGUGAAGAAGGUGCCGGUUAGAAAGAUGAUAACAUUUGAAAUCAAAUAAUUAAAUAGUGUGUUGAUUAUAGAUGUGAGAACAAACAGAAACUGUACGGUUCCACUUGUACACUCCCAGCUAAAUUAAUAAGGACACGCUAAUGAGUAUUCAUGAAUUAUUUAUCCUAUUGUUAGUUGGCAUACAUAAUCAUAUUUACCUAUCAAGCUGCAGCAUAGGCACAAAACAAUACAGUUAAUUUUCAAUAAACACAGUUUAGAUAAAAGUAAUAUCACCAAACUUACUGCA